This 488-nucleotide ribosomal RNA is filed under the name uncultured bacterium. Its description in RNAcentral is "partial 16S ribosomal RNA". It matches the Rfam family "Bacterial small subunit ribosomal RNA", at positions 28 to 507 of the family's 1533-position model. The record is from RNAcentral.
GAUGAACGCUAGCGGCAGGCCUAAUACAUGCAAGUCGGACGGGAUCCAUUGAUAGCUUGCUCUCAAUGGUGAGAGUGGCGCACGGGUGCGUAACGCGUGAGCAACCUGCCUCCAUCAGGGGGAUAGCCUCUCGAAAGAGAGAUUAACACCGCAUAAUAUCAACAGUUCGCAUGUUCAGUUGAUUAAAUAUUUAUAGGAUGGAGAUGGGCUCGCGUGACAUUAGCUAGUUGGUAGGGUAACGGCUUACCAAGGCGACGAUGUCUAGGGGCUCUGAGAGGAGAAUCCCCCACACUGGUACUGAGACACGGACCAGACUCCUACGGGAGGCAGCAGUAAGGAAUAGUGGGCAAUGGGCGGAAGCCUGAACCAGCCAUGCCGCGUGCAGGAUGACUGCCCUAUGGGUUGUAAACUGCUUUUGUACAGGAAUAAACCUAAAUACGAGUAUUUAGCUGAAUGUACUGGAAGAAUAAGGAUCGGCUAACUCCGUG